RNAcentral lists this long non-coding RNA (300 nucleotides) under Capsicum annuum. RNAcentral describes it as "long non-coding RNA (CANN_LNC018764)". The record is from RNAcentral. Lineage: Eukaryota; Viridiplantae; Streptophyta; Magnoliopsida; Solanales; Solanaceae.
GGGAGUCAUUAGUUCCCAAAGGGAGGUUUCUUUCCUAUUGUAGCGCCCGAAAGUUGAUUUCGAGAGGGUGUCUAAUCAUCUGGUGACACGACCCGAUUGGUGUCCUUGUCAUAAUGGGCAUCCCACGUCCAACCAGGACUGGGGAACACCCCCUAUUACCAACCCAACCACCAUUAGCAUACCUUGAGUUGGUGAGUAUCGAUCAAAUAGCAAGAUAGCAUAACUGGACAAGGACUGGCUUUGGGAUAGGUUUAUUCCUAGACCAAUCCUAUCAAGUCAUCCCGUCACAGCUAACCGUAC